Centruroides sculpturatus (bark scorpion) is the source of this 356-nucleotide long non-coding RNA. RefSeq lists it as uncharacterized. The record is from RefSeq and is a predicted model, not a curated record. The transcript has 3 exons. NCBI's taxonomy places the organism in Eukaryota, Metazoa, Arthropoda, Arachnida, Scorpiones, Buthidae.
UAAAACGACGUAUCACAAGCUAUGGCUUACCAUUUGAAAUUUUAAAAAUGCAAUCGUUUUAACCUUUAAAUGUCAAAGGUCAAAAUGCUAAAUUAACAUAAAAAGUUUUCAUUACUAGGAAUAUACAAGCAACAGAUUGCCUUUGUGUCAAGCAAAUUUUCCUACAUACCACUUUGAUAAUACAUAUUACAGAUUCGUCACGUUUGCGGGAGAUGAUGCAUGUUUAUGAAUUAGAAUUUUCAAAAAUAGUUCGUGACACGAUCGAGAUGUCCGAAUCCUAGUACCAUCGAUGGAACCACAAAAACCAUUCCGUCAUCGUCAUCGUCAUCCACAUCGCAUUCCGUCAUAAGUGUUUU